Molecule: ribosomal RNA, 488 nt
Filed under: uncultured Streptococcus sp.
Lineage: Bacteria; Bacillati; Bacillota; Bacilli; Lactobacillales; Streptococcaceae
Description: bacterial SSU rRNA
Rfam family: Bacterial small subunit ribosomal RNA
Source: RNAcentral
CUGGCGGCGUGCCUAAUACAUGCAAGUAGAACGCCGAAGGAGGAGCUUGCUUCUCCGGAUGAGUUGCGAACGGGUGAGUAACGCGUAGGUAACCUGCCUGGUAGCGGGGGAUAACUAUUGGAAACGAUAGCUAAUACCGCAUAAGAGUAGAUGUUGCAUAACAUUUGCUUAAAAGGUGCAAUUGCAUCACUACCAGAUGGCCCUGCGUUGUAUUAGCUAGUUGGUGGGGUAACGGCUCACCAAGGCGACGAUACAUAGCCGACCUGAGAGGGUGAUCGGCCACACUGGGACUGAGACACGGCCCAGACUCCUACGGGAGGCAGCAGUAGGGAAUCUUCGGCAAUGGACGGAAGUCUGACCGAGCAACGCCGCGUGAGUGAAGAAGGUUUUCGGAUCGUAAAGCUCUGUUGUAAGAGAAGAACGAGUGUGAGAGUGGAAAGUUCACACUGUGACGGUAUCUUACCAGAAAGGGACGGCUAACUACGUGC